RNAcentral lists this ribosomal RNA (306 nucleotides) under uncultured bacterium. RNAcentral describes it as "partial 16S ribosomal RNA". It matches the Rfam family "Bacterial small subunit ribosomal RNA", at positions 507 to 807 of the family's 1533-position model. The record is from RNAcentral.
GACAGCAGCCGCCGCGGUAAUACAGAGGGUGCGAGCGUUAAUCGGAUUUACUGGGCGUAAAGCGUGCGUAGGCGGCUUUUUAAGUCGGAUGUGAAAUCCCUGAGCUUAACUUAGGAAUUGCAUUCGAUACUGGGAAGCUAGAGUAUGGGAGAGGAUGGUAGAAUUCCAGGUGUAGCGGUGAAAUGCGUAGAGAUCUGGAGGAAUACCGAUGGCGAAGGCAGCCAUCUGGCCUAAUACUGACGCUGAGGUACGAAAGCAUGGGGAGCAAACAGGAUUAGAGACCCCGGUAGUCCCUGUCUCUUAUAC